ACGGAGGGUGAAAGCGUUGUUCGGAAUUACUGGGCGUAAAGCGAGGGUAGGCGGAUUAAAAAGUGGGGUGGGAAAGCCCCGGGCUAAACUCGGGAAGGGGGCUCGAAACCAUGGGUCUUGAGAACCGGAGGGGAUCGGGGAAUUCCCAGUGUAGAGGUGAAAUUCGUAGAUAUUGGGAGGAACACCGGUGGCGAAGGCGCCGAUCUGGACGGUUUCUGACGCUGAGACGCGAAAGCGUGGGUAGCAAACAG
This 251-nucleotide ribosomal RNA is filed under the name uncultured prokaryote. RNAcentral's name for it is "partial 16S rRNA". It matches the Rfam family "Bacterial small subunit ribosomal RNA", at positions 525 to 775 of the family's 1533-position model. The record is from RNAcentral.